AGAAACAAGCCCCCAACGUUGGAGCUGCCUCAGCUGACACUGAGUGAGCAGAGGCAAGCUGUUCCCUCAGAGCGCUACCCAAACUGCAGAUUUGUGCGCAAAACAAAUGUUGCUGUUGUUUAUGCCACCAAGGUAGGGCAUGACUAGUUAUGCAGCAAUAGAAAUCUGAAACACUCUUGUUAGAAAUGCUCAGGCCCAAACCUGUGGUCAUCCUUGCCACCUCUCUUUCUCUCAUACCCCACUCCCAAUCGGUCAGAAAAUGCUCACAAAACAUAUCCAGAAUCUGACCUCUUCUUGCCACCACCAUUGCUACCAAUCUUUCAACAUAGUUCCUCACAGGAGUUAUUUUGGUAGCUUCCCAACUAACCUCCCUAUUUCCACCCUUGCCCCUCUUCGAUCUCAUUCUCAACACAGCAGCUAAAGUGAUCCUAUUAAAAGUAUGUCAGAUCAUAUUAACCCUCUAAUCAAAAGCUCUAAUGGCUUCCCAUAUCGUGAUACAAUUUCUUCCAACCUCCCCAUGAGCUCUCUGUCCCCAUUUCCUACUCUUUUCAGUCCCCAGGUACACUGACUUACUUAAUGCUCCCCAGACACACAGGUCUGUUCCCACCCGGGCCUUUGCACAUGGUUUACUCCUUUACUUCCCUCAAGUCUUUCUCAAAUGUCACCUUUUUCAUGAGGAUGUUCCCUGCCACCUUAGCCUCCUUCCCUGCUUCAUUUUUCUCCACAGCACUCCUCACCACUCACAUAAUUUUAAUUAUUUAUCUGCUUUCUCAGUUGCCACUUUUCACACCACCACCACACUCACACACAGAGAGACCACAGAAAACAUAGUAGCGUGUUAGCUACAUGAUGUCAGGAGUUUCUGUUUUAGUCACUAUUCUAUCCCUGGCAUCUUAAACAGUACCUGAUUGACACAUUGAAGGCCAUUGAUAAGUAUCUGUUGAAUAAGUGGAUGGGAUUAAAUGCUUAGAUCAAGUCAUAUUAUCUAAGUGGCCUUAGGAAAAUUUGAGCCCAGUCUUUUGCUCUAGCUUUUAUACCAUGUAAAAUACAGUAAGAGAAUACCCAAAUUAAUCAAUAAAGAAAAUGUACUAUCUUAGAAAUGAGACAUCCUGACAUGCUUCCCAAGUUGAUUAUUUUAGAAGCAUGAUGAUGGUUCCCAGGACAUAGGCAUUUUCUAUCUUUUCUCUCUACCAUCUUUACUUAUUGUAUGUUAUGGACUAAAUGUUUGUGUCCUCCCCACUGCCCCCCCCCGCAAAAUUCUUCUGUUGAAACCCUAACCCCAAUGUCAUGGUAUUUGGAGGUGAGCCCUUCAGGAGGUAAUCAUGACUAGAUUAGGUGAUGAGGGUGGGACCCUCAUUAUGGGAUUAAUGCCCUUAUAAAAAAGAGGAGGAGACACGGGAUUUUUCUUUCCAUGUGUGCAUACCAAGAAAAGACCAUAUGAAGACAACCAAAAAGAGUGCCCUCACCAAAAACCUGAGCACCCUUAUUUUGGACUUACAGCCUCCAGAACUGUGAGAAAUUAAUAUUUGUUGUUCAAGCCACAGAGCCCAUUGUGUUUUUUAUGGCAGCUCAAGCAGACCAGGGUGGUAUGGCAGAUAUUUCCCCAAGAUGGCCACCCCUAUAUAUUUCUUCUAUGGCAUGUUUUUCAUGCAACGAGGCUGAUGUUCCUCCCACCAAGAGGUGGUGUCUAUGUUGUAGGGGUUGUAGACUGUCAAUCCUAAUCAACAGAGUGAGGUGGAAGUGAUGCUAUGUGAAACCAGAUUACCGAAAGCAUACAGCUUCCACUUGGCUCUCUCUUUCAGGAUGCUUCCUUGGGAACCUUGACAACAUAUUGUGAGGAAGCCCGUGCCACACGGAGAAGCUGACAUGGAGUGGAACUCAGCCCUCCCGCCAGCAGGCAGUUCCAAUUUGCCAGGCAUGUGAGUGAGCCAUUUUGGAAGCGGGUCCUUCGGCCACAGUCAAAACUUCAAAUAAGUACACCUCCAGCCAACAUGUGUUUGCAACCUCAUGGGAAACUCCUAAGCCAGAACCUCUCCCAAAUUCCUGGCUCACAGAAACCAUGAGAGAUUUUUGUUGUUUUAAGCCAUUAAGUUUUGGGGUAAUUUGUUAAGGAGUAUUUGUGUGAACCAGAUUGAUGUCAUCUUGGACAAAUCCACUGCGAUGACUCCUCUGUGACAUGAAGCCUUCUUGAGCACAGCACCCACCCCCCAAAUUCUUCCUUUUUGUUUAACCACACCCUUAAGUACACUCUUGGAGCAUGACAUCCUUGAUCUGCUCUGGAGAUAUGACUAUGAUUCUCAAACAUUCUCCUCCUGGGUGGUCUCCCAGUCUCUAAGGCUAUGAAAACAGGUCAAAACGGAUCUUACAGGAGGUGGGGUCGCAGAGAUAUCCUCUUGCCACCAGCCAAGACAUGCUUCUGUCCAUAAGUCCCUUUAAUGAAUCAUUUCUUGACAAGCUGUACUUGU
This 2465-nucleotide long non-coding RNA is filed under the name Lynx pardinus (Iberian lynx). The record is from RNAcentral. Lineage: Eukaryota; Metazoa; Chordata; Mammalia; Carnivora; Felidae.